CCUACGGGAGGCAGCAGUGGGGAAUAUUGGACAAUGGGCGAAAGCCUGAUCCAGCCAUGCCGCGUGUGUGAAGAAGGUCUUCGGAUUGUAAAGCACUUUAAGUUGGGAGGAAGGGCAUUAACCUAAUACGUUAGUGUUUUGACGUUACCGACAGAAUAAGCACCGGCUAACUCUGUGCCAGCAGCCGCGGUAAUACAGAGGGUGCAAGCGUUAAUCGGAAUUACUGGGCGUAAAGCGCGCGUAGGUGGUUUGUUAAGUUGGAUGUGAAAUCCCCGGGCUCAACCUGGGAACUGCAUUCAAAACUGACUGACUAGAGUAUGGUAGAGGGUGGUGGAAUUUCCUGUGUAGCGGUGAAAUGCGUAGAUAUAGGAAGGAACACCAGUGGCGAAGGCGACCACCUGGACUAAUACUGACACUGAGGUGCAAAAGCGUGGGGAGCAAACAGGAUUAGAUACCCUGGUAGUCCACGCCGUAAACGAUGUCAACUAGCCGUUGGGAGCCUUGAGCUCUUAGUGGCGCNGCUACGCAUAGUUAGACCGCCGUCGGGAGGUACGGCCGCGAACGUAAACGUAACGAAGAAGUAGACGGCGUGAGACGUGCCGACGGACGACGACGAGGGAGGAGG
This 625-nucleotide ribosomal RNA is filed under the name uncultured bacterium. Its description in RNAcentral is "bacterial SSU rRNA". The stretch from base 1 to 541 matches the Rfam family "Bacterial small subunit ribosomal RNA", at positions 338 to 873 of the family's 1533-position model. The record is from RNAcentral.